ACCGCUGGUUCAGAGAAAAGCUCACAUCACUGCAUUCAGCUCUGCUGCUGCCAUGGGGCCAAGCGACCUGUCCUCUCCAGGCUCACUUCCUCGUCAGUAGAAUGAGGUUCACAGCACCCCACCCAGGAUCAUGCUCUGAGGACUCAGUGUGAAGAUAACUAAGCAUCUGAUGUGACCUAUGACAAGUGCUCAAUGUGCAAUAAAAAUAUUUGCUGAGCCUUCUCCUAGAGAAAAUAAUGUUUUGCUCCCAUCUGGAACUGCCAAAAGGCCGGAAGUUAGCUAUGGAAAUAGCGAUACACCUGUUAUUGUGUGUGUCCUGCAGCACUGCAGAGGCUGCGGUUUUCAUGGAGCUGAGAAAGACAGCUUUAGGGAAACUGUAAGUGCUGAGCCCCAGGAGCAGUUGGUCAGGAGUCACCAGUGUCCAGGAGUUAGGACCUGAUGGAUGUCUUUGUGAUCAAGCUGCCAUCCCUAUGUCACCUCAGUCCCAGCAAAUUCACUUGCUCAUCUUGUCUACAGAGAAGCUCAACCAAUGGCUUUAAACAUGAGAGGCUUCUGUUCCAAUGGAUGGUCCAAUCUUCAGCCAAAGCAUCAUCAAGUGUGGGGGCUGGAUUGAAAUUUUUGAAGUCUUUUAAGCCCUGUGGACCAGAAACAUUAGAACCCGAGGCGAUUAUCACUCCUUCAUCCCAGACCCACUGAAGCAGAGUCUGCAUUUAACAAGAUCCCAAGACCAUGUGUAUGCUUUUAAGACUGAGAAGCACUGAUACUAGUGGAGAGUCCCACAUUUUAAUGGGCGUCAUUAAAGUAGCAAAACCUACUGCUUCCUGGACUACUUCCUAUAGGUCCUGAAUGGCAAAAAGCCCAGAAGAUUCCCAUGGGAGAAGUAUCUCUGAAGCAUAACCUGUACUUUGUAAUCAGCCGGACCCUGAAUCCCAGCUUGGCUCAGUUUGGUGGCAGCUGGGUCUCUUCAGAAGUCCGAACUCUUUUGGAAAGUGUCAGAAACCUAGUUCGAACUGGUUCAAGUUAAAAGAUUUCUCGGAAACCAUUGUUGGAAAAGGACCUACCAUGACUUGUAGAAGGUGGAAUUCACUUUGAG
Eptesicus fuscus (big brown bat) is the source of this 1093-nucleotide long non-coding RNA. RefSeq lists it as uncharacterized. The transcript is spliced from 6 exons. Lineage: Eukaryota; Metazoa; Chordata; Mammalia; Chiroptera; Vespertilionidae. The record is from RefSeq and is a predicted model, not a curated record.